Molecule: transfer RNA, 93 nt
Filed under: Candidatus Jordarchaeales archaeon
Lineage: Archaea; Promethearchaeati; Candidatus Jordarchaeia; Candidatus Jordarchaeales
Also listed under: 1 other name
Description: tRNA-OTHER
Rfam family: tRNA
About the family: Transfer RNA (tRNA) molecules are approximately 80 nucleotides in length.
Source: RNAcentral
GGGCGGGUAGUCUAGCUGGUUAUGACGCCACACAAAGAAGAGGCGAAGUUGACACCGUGGAGGACCCAGGUUCAAAUCCUGGCCCGCCCACCA